AUGCCCUCUUGUCCUCCUCCUCAUCCUUCGGUUUGCCACGUCCACGACAACCACAAGGAGAGCAGACAAGCUGCUCCAAGACUCCCAUCGCCUCCCUACAAGCUCCCUCUCAUCGGCCACCUCCACCUCGUGGGCUCACUGCCCCACAUUUCCCUCCGCAGUCUCGCCGAGAAGCAUGGCCCCGAUGCCAUGCUUCUACGCCUUGGCGCCGUCCCCAGCCUUGUUGUGUCGUCCGCUCGUGCAGCCAUGGCAGUUCUUCGCACGCACGACCAUGCGUUUGCGUCCCGGGUACAGUCCGCCAUGACUGGCAUCCUCUUCUAUGGAUCAACUGAUAUGGCCUUCUCCCCAUACGGGGAUCACUGGCGCCAGAUAAGAAAGAUCGUUGCAACACAUCUUCUCAGUUUCAAGAAAGUUGGCUCCUACCGUCUUGCCCGGGAAAAAGAGGUACAACACGCUAUGGCGAGGAUCCGCGAGGCAGCCGCCAGGAGCGCUGCAGUGGAUCUUAGUAAGCUGCUUAGCUCGUUCACCACUGAUAUUGUUAGCCAUGCUGUGUCGGGGAAGUCCUUCAGAGGUGGCGGUCGAAACGAGUUAUUCCGCGAGCUGGUAGAGACUAGCUCCAUGCUAAUAGGUGGGUUCAACCUGGAGGAUUACUUCCCCAAGUUGGCAAGGCUGGACGUGGAAUUCAAUUUGAACCCUAAUGCUAAGAGUUUCACUCCCUUGACUUCUCUGAGGCCACAUCACCCUCCAGCGCUUGAUGCAACAUACUAUUAUCCUAAUAACAUGGGGGCUACUGGACAUGGUUUGCCUGUUGGCAUGGGGUUUCCACAGGCGUAUGGUGGACAGCCUGUUGUUUACAAUGCUCAGCCUGGAUCUUCUCCCCAGGGUUACAUGCAUCCUUCUGGGCAACAGGAGAUGCAGCAGCAGCAAUACAGAGGAAGGAACUUCUAG
Molecule: ribosomal RNA, 948 nt
Filed under: Triticum aestivum (bread wheat)
Lineage: Eukaryota; Viridiplantae; Streptophyta; Magnoliopsida; Poales; Poaceae
Description: partial small subunit ribosomal RNA
Source: RNAcentral